UUUUGCUUCAAAAUUGUAUAAUUUGUUCAUCUAUCUGUUACAAACUUACUUCAUGUAAAGAUGUUUUUUUUUGGAAUUCUUUGAUCAAUGAAACACAGCUCUCCUGCGCUUUCUAAAAAUAUAUAUAUUCAGAAAUAUAAAGUACUGGAUAUAAUGGUGUAUUGGAUACAUGAUUAGUUGAGAAGAUUCCUGGUUACAUGGAGAAAGGUUAACUGAUGGGUUAGGAACAACAUUACACUAGUCAUCACUAUCAGUGAUGUGGUCCUCAUUAAUGUCACUUGUUAUGUGCCUGUGCUCAUGUUAUCAGAAUCUUAUUACUGAUUACCAAUGACGAUCAUUUUUCUAUGUGAUAUGCUGAUAGUGCUUCCUGGAGGCAGGUGUUUUCACCUGCGAGCAAAAAAGUAGUGUCAUCACUUACACAGUCAAAUUUCUUAUAGGGAAGCAUGUGGUCUGUAGUGUUUAAAAUUUGCUCAUUAGUUCUCUAAAAGUUGAACAAGUUCCUUCGCAUUUGUUUUGGAUUGCAGAAUGAAUACUUCUUCAGGUACAGAGAUGACCGGAAUGCAGCAGAAAUUUUCAGAGCUAAUGGUGAUAUAAAUGGACUUAAAUCACAUUGUAAUAGUCAGGUAAAUCGCACAGCCUGUCUUCAAUAUGUCUGCAGUUAAUAUAUCAUUUAGGAGUAAUGAGUUCUCAGCUAAAAUGCAGUUAAUAUGCAUGCCACUACUUUGUUAAAGCGAAGAUGCAUGCCACUUCUUCUAGAGCAAGUGAAUGGGGGUAUGAGUUGGAUGUUUUAGGUCUCUGUUUGAUGUGGGAUGGAGACCAUCAGAAGAGAUUUGAUCACCAUUGAGGUAUGGAGGGGAAGCAGUAGGAGUUCCAGGGGGAGAGUAGGGUACAAACAGAAGAGCAUCGACAGGUAUUACCUAAGUGGUCAUUUCCUGUCUAUCUGGGAGGGGAUCCAGUGGUGUGGCUUGAUCGGUGUAUGGAGUAUUUUACCAUCUAUAGUGUUCCAAAGUUCAUGUGGGUUUCUGCAGCAUCAAUGCAUUCCGAUCCAAAUGUUGCUCAAUGGUGGAGAUGUCAUAAGCUGUGUCAUGGCAUGAGUAUUUGGCAAGGGUUUGUUUCUGCUGCGACACAGAAAUAUGGUGUUGAUGCUUAUUCGAAGGCUCUGAGAAGACUUAUGAAUCUAAGGCAAACUAGAAAUAUCAAAUGUGUAUAUUAUUCAUCAUAUUUGUUUGAGAUUAUUAAUGUCAUGCUUAGUGUUCGUGCCAAUAGAUAAGUUUGUAGUUGAUGAUAAUAUGUAUUGUUUAUUUUCAUGUAAUCAUUAUAUACUAACUUUGGAUCAAAUAAUUUGUAUGCCGUCGCAACGCACGGCCAUAUACCUAGUAGAUAUUUAAACAUUGACUUAGGAAACCAAACACACCUCCGAAUAUGACGGCGAUGGCAACCGGCCCGCGAGCCCUGGAUGCACGGUCAAUUGAAGAUGGUAGGUGCUAGUGCUACUGAUUGAUUACCGGCUAUUAACAAAAGGAGGGGAUCGGUCUGUCCCGUUGACUCAGUAAAAGUUUGUAGUAACAGUGCUAGCUAAACCUAAUAACCCACACACACUACAGUGUCUACAGCACGAGUCGGUCAAGGAAAAGGGUUGCCCGAUCGAGGAGGCUCGUCUCCAUGUGGGUUGGCAUUGCAUGUGUAGCUUGACAGGGAAUUAGAGAACCUUCGCAGCGGGAUCGGCCAUCAUGUGUCCACCCCCGGGCCCCGGUUGUUGUUGCUCGUGUGGUCCAGCUGCCUAAAUCACAGAACAAAGGUGUGGGGAAGAAGGCGAAGGCGAAGGCGAGAUGGCGAUGGAGAAGGCGAGAAGGGACGGGAAUAAAGACCUGUCGGCGCGGCUGCCUCCGCUCGCUCGGUUUGGCAGGCCACGGCCAUUUGAAACUGCCGGUGCCGGCGCAUGCGUUUCCGUCAGUCUCUAUCGCCCCGGCCUUUCCGCUUCUUCUUUCAUCAGCUAGCAGUUCCGCAUCGGGCCGGGGCCUUGCUUAUACUAGCAUCACACUAACAAAAUCUGUCAAGCUCCCAUCUCUAACCAUAAAUUAAUAAUCAGCAUCCGAUCGUGCUCCUAGCUAGCUAGGUCGU
RNAcentral lists this long non-coding RNA (2121 nucleotides) under Zea mays. RNAcentral describes it as "long non-coding RNA (ZMAY_LNC001161)". The record is from RNAcentral. Lineage: Eukaryota; Viridiplantae; Streptophyta; Magnoliopsida; Poales; Poaceae.